Molecule: transfer RNA, 76 nt
Filed under: Bacillota bacterium
Lineage: Bacteria; Bacillati; Bacillota
Description: Firmicutes bacterium (anaerobic digester metagenome) tRNA-Phe
Rfam family: tRNA
About the family: Transfer RNA (tRNA) molecules are approximately 80 nucleotides in length. Their secondary structure includes four short double-helical elements and three loops (D, anti-codon, and T loops). Further hydrogen bonds mediate the characteristic L-shaped molecular structure. tRNAs have two regions of fundamental functional importance: the anti-codon, which is responsible for specific mRNA codon recognition, and the 3' end, to which the tRNAs corresponding amino acid is attached (by aminoacyl-tRNA synthetases). tRNAs cope with the degeneracy of the genetic code in two manners: having more than one tRNA (with a specific anti-codon) for a particular amino acid; and 'wobble' base-pairing, i.e. permitting non-standard base-pairing at the 3rd anti-codon position.
Source: RNAcentral
GCCCAGAUAGCUCAGUCGGUAGAGCAGAGGAUUGAAAAUCCUCGUGUCGCUGGUUCGAUUCCGGCUCUGGGCACCA